RNAcentral lists this ribosomal RNA (465 nucleotides) under Vreelandella stevensii. RNAcentral describes it as "partial 16S ribosomal RNA". It matches the Rfam family "Bacterial small subunit ribosomal RNA", at positions 338 to 795 of the family's 1533-position model. Lineage: Bacteria; Pseudomonadati; Pseudomonadota; Gammaproteobacteria; Oceanospirillales; Halomonadaceae. The record is from RNAcentral.
CCUACGGGGUGCAGCAGUGGGGAAUAUUGGACAAUGGGCGAAAGCCUGAUCCAGCCAUGCCGCGUGUGUGAAGAAGGCCUUCGGGUUGUAAAGCACUUUCAGUGGGGAAGAAAGCCUUGGGGCUAAUACCCUCGAGGAAGGACAUCACCCACAGAAGAAGCACCGGCUAACUCCGUGCCAGCAGCCGCGGUAAUACGGAGGGUGCGAGCGUUAAUCGGAAUUACUGGGCGUAAAGCGCGCGUAGGCGGUCUGAUAAGCCGGUUGUGAAAGCCCCGGGCUCAACCUGGGAACGGCAUCCGGAACUGUCAGGCUAGAGUGCAGGAGAGGAAGGUAGAAUUCCCGGUGUAGCGGUGAAAUGCGUAGAGAUCGGGAGGAAUACCAGUGGCGAAGGGGGUCUUCUGGACUGACACUGACGCUGAGGUGCGAAAGCGUGGGUAGCAAACAGGAUUAGAUACCCGUGUAGUC